AGAUAAACUGUGCAGGUGAGACACCAUGAUCAUGAAGGCAGUUCUCCCAGGAUGAGACUUGUCCCUUGCACUCCAGUCAGGCUGACCCCUGCGAGCUUCCCUAAAUGCAGGAAACUCGGCUGCACACUUUUGUGGUAAUGGGGGACUGUGUUCAUGCUUCCCCCAU
This is a small nuclear RNA of Alligator mississippiensis (American alligator), 166 nucleotides long. It matches the Rfam family "U1 spliceosomal RNA". From Rfam's summary of the family: U1 is a small nuclear RNA (snRNA) component of the spliceosome (involved in pre-mRNA splicing). The record is from Rfam. Lineage: Eukaryota; Metazoa; Chordata; Crocodylia; Alligatoridae.